RNAcentral lists this small RNA (84 nucleotides) under Arabidopsis thaliana (thale cress). Its description in RNAcentral is "ATSL086090". The record is from RNAcentral. Lineage: Eukaryota; Viridiplantae; Streptophyta; Magnoliopsida; Brassicales; Brassicaceae.
GGGAGUCUCAAUAGGGAUUUAGAUGGAUUAGUAGAUCGGAAACCCCUUAGGAUUAUUCUUAGAGUUCUUCAUCUUGAUUAUUCU